CUGCCACAGAUUGAUUGGCAUCUGCACCUAAUUGGGCAUGCUGUUUGACACAUCAUGCAGCCAAUUACAAGGAUUCCCAAAUGUUAUCUUAUCUCACAAGUGGUUUGUCUCUUCCACUUCUAUCUCAUCGCUCCCACUUAGAGUGAGACAGCUACUACUAAUUAAGUCAAGCCACGUUUAAGACACCUUUCCAUCUCACUAAAAUACAAUGGCCACUAACUCACAU
This 226-nucleotide long non-coding RNA is filed under the name Musa acuminata (dwarf banana). Its description in RNAcentral is "long non-coding RNA (MACU_LNC003947)". Lineage: Eukaryota; Viridiplantae; Streptophyta; Magnoliopsida; Zingiberales; Musaceae. The record is from RNAcentral.